RNA transcript from Onychostruthus taczanowskii (white-rumped snowfinch), 7338 nucleotides. It is a transcript of the gene named fucosyltransferase 11, with no coding region annotated. NCBI's taxonomy places the organism in Eukaryota, Metazoa, Chordata, Aves, Passeriformes, Passeridae. The record is from RefSeq and is a predicted model, not a curated record. The transcript is spliced from 4 exons.
GGCCCCGUGACACGGCCCGGGCAUGGGGGGCGCCGGGCCGGGGUGGGGGCCUGCGGGCCUGUGGGUGACGCUGGCGCUGGCCUGGAGCGCAGGAGUGGUUCUGGCCGCGGAGGAGCCGGCCGAGCCGUGCGGGGCGGACGUGUGGGCGCAGGACGCCGUCCCGCCGGGCGCGGCCUUCGUCGCCGCCGCGUCGUACCGUGGGCCCGGCAACAACGACACGCGGAGCAACAAGGCGCUGCCCAUCCUGCUGUGGUGGAGCGGGAGCCUCUUCCCGCACUUUCCCGGCGACACGGAGCGCAUCGACUGCCCCCGCGGCUCCUGCCUCGUCACCCGGAGCCGGCGGGUGGCCCGGCACCGCCGCACCAAGGCGCUCAUCUUCUACGGCACCGACUUCAGAGCGUACGAGGCGCCGCUGCCCCGCCUGCCCCACCAGACCUGGGCGCUCUUCCACGAGGAGUCCCCCAUGAACAACUACGUGCUCUCGCACUCGCCCGGCAUCCGGCUCUUCAACUACACGGCCACCUUCCGCCGGGAGUCCGACUACCCGCUCACGCUGCAGUGGCUGCCCGGCACCGCGUACCUGCGGGCCCCGGCCGUGCCCCUGGCCGAGAAGGACGCGUGGCGGCGGAAGGGCUACGGCCCGGUGCUGUACAUGCAGUCCCACUGCGACGUGCCCUCGGACAGGGACCGCUACGUGCGGGAGCUCAUGAAGUACAUCCAGGUUGACUCCUAUGGUAAAUGCCUGCAUAACCGUGAGCUCCCCAGUGAGCGACUGAGAGACACUUCUACAGCCACUACAGAAGAUUCUGAAUUUAUGACUUUUAUUGCCAGGUACAAGUUCCAUCUGGCCUUGGAGAAUGCCAUAUGUGACGACUACAUGACAGAGAAGCUGUGGCGUCCCAUGCACCUGGGUGCUGUCCCAGUGUACCGAGGCUCCCCAGCUGUGCGGGACUGGAUGCCAAACAACCUCUCCAUCAUUCUUAUAGAUGAUUUUGACAGCCCCCAAGAGCUGGCAAAGUAUCUUAAUUUCCUGGACAAGAAUGGAGAGGAAUAUUUGAAGUAUCUAGAGUAUAAAAACACCGGUGGAAUCAAAAACCAGUUCUUGCUGGAGAGCUUAGAGAAGCGGGAGUGGGGUGUGAAUGACAUGACUCUGCCCAAUUACCUGAAUGGCUUCGAGUGUUUCAUCUGUGACAAAGAGAACACCCGAGUCAAAGAGGAGCAGGAGCACAAGAAGUCUCAUGGAAAAAUUCCAGCUCCCAGACCUCAUAUAGCUCAGUUCAAGCACAUGGGAUGUCCUAUGCCAACCCCCGGGUUUGGAAGUGUUGAAGACCUCUCUGGUGGAGACAGUUGGAAAGAAAUGUGGCUGCAGGAUUAUUGGCAAAGCCUUGAUCAGGGUGAGGCCCUCACUGCUAUGAUUCAUCGCAAUGAGUCUCAUCAGGGAAGAUUUUGGGACUACAUGCAUGAGAUUUUUCUUAAGAGGACAAGGCAACACUGACCCAUCUUUGUAAGAGCUUGAUUUGAAAAUUGCAUUGAAAGUUGAGACUGUGAAUUCUUACUCACUUCAAAUGUUUGCCUUGAAAAAACAAAACCAAAAAAACUCUCACAGAGACAAUUUUUUCUGGUGCACAAAUGGUCCCUGCAGUUUGGAUACAAGUCUUGAAAUCUUUGUAUGCUGCAGUGGGUGAUCAGAGCCAGAUGCACUGAGAUGGUUUUGUAUCUCUACUGACCUUAACACACUGUGAUCCUCGUCUGCAACCAGAGUUCCUGAGUGUCAACAUGUGGAUUGAUCUUCCUUGCUGCAUAGCCUGUGUUGCUUACAGGUAUAAAUAAAUUCCACUGUUCCCUGCCAUAGUGGGUAUCUUUCUGAAAUAACUGAUCUUGCAGUGCGGGGAAACUAAUUAAUUCAGGGCCAAAGGUUUAACCACACAGGCAAAUACAGCCACACUGCAGUGAUGUCUCUGAUGGUAUAUUGCUAUUUUCUUUCUCCAUUUCCCCUCCUUCAGAAGUUAACUACUGACUAAGGAGCCAGAGUUUCUGUGCUUAGGACAGUUCGUUGGUAAUGAAAGUCUACAGUCUGUUGUGUAAUUUGAUUUUGUAAGGCAGUUUAUGCAUUGCUGUGGGAAGUCUGAUGUCUGUCAGUAAAAGUUAGGAACAGCAGUGACUCUACAUUCUCUGCCUAAUUACAUUACUGUCCAUUGCUUAGUGCUGUAUGGUUCACUUAAUAUCUUUUUGUUUUCCCUCAAAUUCCCCUUCAUAAUGUUAUAGAUAUGGGAUUACAAGUAUAAUAUCAGUAUAAGUAAUGAUCAUCUCAAUGUUUGCCUCUCAGGUGACAUAACAAUAUUGCCAUUUUAAAAUCAGGCAAUCAAUCUUGACAGCAAAGACUUCAGACCCAUGACCAUCACUGGAUUUUUAUAAAUGUAGAAAAUGCAUGCAGUGUACAUUGUUGUCACCUAAUUGUUUUUAGGAGAAGAACGGUUUUUUAUCUCUCUUCUCUAAUAGUGAAGAUCACUCAUCUCAAAUGAUUCUUCAGCUAAAAUGCAUUUAUCAGUUUAAGUUACUUUUUUCAGUUAUUCAGGAGACAUGAAUACCUAAGAGAAUAUAUCUUAGUUAAUUGUUAAACUGGAUUACUCAAAUCAGAUCAGAAAUUACAGAUGUGUAUUCAGGAUUGAAGAGGCCACUUGCUUGAGAAGUAAAUUAAGAUAAAACAAAUUAAGGCUGCUUUAGUUCUGAAUAUUGACUUCUACUAAACAAAUUAAUGAUAUUUAGCUAAGUUGUUUGAAUUAAUGCCUUCAGUUACUCCAUUUCAUGUUUCUGUAUAGAAAAUAAUUCAGUCUUCUUUAACUGCAUUCUCUUAAUUAGCUGUAUCUCCAAACACUUUCUUAUUCAAAUGUUUGGUAGAAUAGAUAGGAGAAAUUGUGAUCUUGCUUUUUGUACUAAACAUAAAAAGUAAGAACCAGGUGCUACCAUAUGCUACUUUUCCUAUUUUAUCCUGUAAUUUAAGCAGAUUUUUCAGAAGUGCAGCAUUCAUAAUACUUUCCCAGUCUUUAAUAUAAUGUACCUACUGUUGCCAAAAUUAGACUUGCUAUGUUUAAUGCACUGUCCCUACAGGAGUAACAGGAGGAAGUGCCAGUGUAGCUACGUGCAUCAGCACCUGCCUAGUCCUUGGUGAGAUGUCCAGAGGCCCAUUUUGUCUUCCUGCUCAGCAACAUGAGCAUGUUUCUCAGCUAACAGUAGCACUGAAGAUGUGGUGGUACAAGCUGAGCAGUAGUUAGCAAAGUAGGUAAAAACUUCUUCCUUGGAGCCCUGAUUUGUUCUUUAGCUAUUUCACAACUGAGUAUUCCUUCACCACUAUAUACUUCCUGUACUCAGCAUAUUACAAUAAACAGCCAACAAGGUUAUUCUGUUAGUCCUGCAGUCUUUGGUGCUUUGCUCUGUCUGUACUACUACAGAAGGCUGUUGCUUUGAGCUUGAUGACUGUUGCCAAGCUGACCAUUCUGAUUGUCAUCUGUCUUCUUAAGGAAGAAGAGUACAGAUCUGAAAGUAUCUUGAUUACAGAUAUUCUAUGGAUUUUAUCUGGUUGUCAAAGUAUACCUUCCAGUUUGUAGAUGAGUCACAAGUAAUUUGAUAGCUUUCUUUUCUGAGUUUUUAGUGUCUUCCUAGGUUUAACUGUUUUUUACAGUCUUAGAGGUGGUGAACUUCUCAAAAGAUAAUGAGUAUUAGCUACCACUCUUUGCUGUGAAGCUCACCCAAGCCUUGUUUCCGUUGUAUCUGCAGUGGUUUUUUCUGUAGUCAUAGAUCAUACUAGCUUUCAUCUCCUCUAUGUCAUAAUACUUCCAUGAUUUAUAAACCAUGUCUCUGUGGCCUCUAUUAAUAUAGUAAAUUUAUUUCACUUUUUAUGUAUGGUGUGCAAGAAUUAAGGCUGGAAUAUUUAUUCAGUGCGUGGUAUGAAUACUUUGUGUAGCUGCCAGGCAAACUCUGCAGGGACAGGAGAGGUGGGAAUCCUGCCCAGCUGGAUAAAGGGUUGUGGUUGCAGUUGUGUUCGAUGCUGCUGACUGACCUUCACAGCAUCUACUGCUCUGCACAGCAAGGACUACAAAAUGUUGAGUAAACAUUUUAGCAUGGUUUUGCUUUCAUUCUCUCCUGUUAUUUGGAGGAGACAGGAGGAGAAGCUGGGUCUCAUACCCUUGAAGAGUUUGCAAUUAAUUUACUUAAUAAUGCAUUUGAAAGGAUUGCUGUUGCUAUACUGGCAAUGUGUACUGCCAGUCGUAGCCAAAGUGAAUUCAAUUUAUCCUCCUAGCUGUCUUUCUACUAAUGCAAGCAUCUGAAUGCAGACAAGGAAGAAGGUCACUACAGCAUUAUUAUUUUGGAAAAAGUUUCCUGAUUUCUGUUCUCAGCUAACUGGAUUUCUCACUGCUUUAAAUCCAAACCAGCAAGAUGGUGGCUGAAUGUCAUCACUCGUAUUCUGACUACUGGAAGGCUACGUGAUACUCAGACUGAACAUGAUAGAUUCAACAUCUAUCUUAAUAAUGUUCUUACAGUGCAGGUACCCAUAUUCAUAAAAACUGAGACUAAUAAGGCAAGGUACCAAAUAUUGAAGAUAUUUAUCUGUGUAAACGUUUUGACAGGAUCCUGCAGACUAGGGUGAGUGGCUGUACUGCUUGUCGUGCAUUGUGCCUGUUUACUGUGUGACUAGAGGGAGGCUUUCAAAGCUGUCAGGAUAGCUUUGUUCACUAGCAUUACUGUUCUAAAAAUAAAUAUCUCCUCAUUACUGCUCACAUGAAACACCAGUAGACUCUAUUAAUGCUGUGUCUCAGAAUUGACUUGACAAGCUGGAAUAAAUUUAUGCCCUCUCAGAGGUGAGAGAUGAGAAACAAAUAACUGACUGAAGGUUAAAAAUCUAGCAGUCCAAGGCAUUGCAUUGAUUGGGCAAGCCCCAGUUCUCAUUCUUCUGCCAAAACUCUGAUACCACAUGUUGCCUAUUUUUUCAGUUAGAAGAUGAUUAUUUUAUUUACUGAACUAGUAGUCUGCAUUUUCUGUCCUUUAGCAAGGACUGCAAUUUGUAGGAAGCAUAUAACCUCACUGAAGAACAUUGAUUUGAUACCUAACAUUAUGAUUUCUGGAACUCAAAAGGAGUUCAGAAAGAGUUGCCUUUUCUUAUUUCAGGCACUGUAGUAAUUUUCAAACUGAAAGAUCUCUGGUUCCUCUCUAAUGGUGAGUAGAAUGAGAUCCAAGCAACAGAGGAUGUAUAGGUUUAGAGGGGAAGGAGAAUGAGCUGCUUUCUCUGGAAAUGAUCUGCAAAGUGAAUCAGCAGAAAUGCUCCUCUUGCAUUUUGACUGAGGGUCGCUUUAAGUGGUGUGGAAGAACAACUUCUAAAGGACUGGGGACAGGAUAAACUGAAUUGAAACUCAGCCAUCAGAGUUUUAACAGGCAUUGCAGUGUUAGACAAGCAGCCAUCUGCCUCGUUUGCUGUCCUGCCAUACACACUCUUCAACAAUAGUCCCAAGAGAGCCACUCCCUUAAUCAUUAGUUGUCAUCUGUUUGGUUGUAUUUAAUUAAGGUUAUUGAUGGAUCUCCAGGCACCUUCUGGGAAGUUGUAUUAAUUGGAAACCUACAGGGUGCCAGGUUCCUUCAUUCUGCAUAGAGACCAGAGACCUCUACUGACAGGCUGAAAUUAAUCAGAGAUAAAAUCCUUUUAGUGAUACAACCAACUGAGCCAAAACCUACAUCAGGCUUUAACUGUACCUCUCUUUAUGGUCCAUUGUCUCAGAGCUGGCAGUGAGAGAUAUAUGGCCCUGCAGAGGGAUUAGGAAGGACAGAGAGGAGUGGAGCAACAGGAUUUGUUCCAGAACUCUGACACCACUAGCAUCUUAAUUUGUGUGCUGUUAAACACAUUUUUUACUGCAGAAAAGACCCAUUUAAUGUGCAAGUGUCUCAGCUAGAGAUGGUUCUGGGAUCUUGGAACGGAUCAGAGCAGAUGAUAAUACUUUGCGGCAUCUCUGAGCAAAUUAGCAGGCACAGGUAAUUUGCAGUGGAAAUGGGCUGAGUUUCCUAGAUCCUGGGAAUUAGGGAUGGCAGCUCAGAACUACUCAGGCUGACAGGAAAAUGCAGGGCAGCUGAUCUGAUUGAGAUAGCACAGGAUAAGGGUUGUUGUGGGAGUUGGGGUGGGGUGUGACACAUCCAGUUGUGUGCAUGAAUACAUUGUGCUGGUAAGAGCAUUAAGUACUAAUACAGUCCAAACACAACAGCUCAGCAGGCAGGAGUUGAGUUGGGUCUGAGCCAACUGGAAUCUUAGCAAACUGGUUGCUUUCAUUGCUAAAGUUAAAGUGGAAGUGCUUUAAAUUUUAAGGCAUCUCUAAUUAAAUUGGUUUAAGGAGGUCAGGGUGAGACGGAUGAGAAUGAAGUGUUGUUGGUGAGGGCAUUACGAACUGGUAUGGUGCAUUCAGCAUAAGUUUGUGUGAAUAUAGUGGAAUUUACCUGAAAGCUGGAUCCAGGCAGCAGUCAAAAAUACAUGGAUAUCAACUCUAUUCUUUUUUGACAAUACAACAGAUUUCUUAGCCUCAUCCUUUAACUGAUUUUUAGGUAGUUGUCUGGAUGUUUUACAUAACUACACCAGAAAGUGAAGAAUACAUGGUGUAAUUUCUCAUCUCUUAAAGAGGUAUUUAAGAAAGCAGUCUCAUUUUAAAGGAUGUAUUUUAUCACAGCAUUGCUAGCACUGUUUUUAAUUGUGACAUAGCAUUCACUGUAGCAUCAUAUGUGGCCCUUAUUCAGUUGUGAUAUAUAUUCUUUUCAAGUCUAAUAUCAAUAGUUUAAACUCUAUGGUUCAUUUUGGUUUUGACCAGCUGAAACUCAAGCUAGGAUUCAGCUUUAAAUGCGUCAAUACAAGAAAAAAAGUUGUAAAUGCUAAUUAGUGAAAGCUAAAGCUUUACAUGGUUAUUAUAGUUGUGCAUUCAAGAUUACCAGUAAAACAUCUCUGGGGUUCACUGUUGAGGGAAUUUAGUUUCUGAGUGUCCCUAUAAAGUCAGCACUUCUGUCCCAUCCAUUAGUGACUUGGUGCUAUGAGCUGUACAAAAUACAGCCUGUAGAGACAUUUGGCUAUUCAAUAACACGGCCUUUUUGUAGUUCUGCAUUCUUCCUUAAAAUUAAUGUGUAAUAUUAAAAAAUACUGUUUAAUAAUAAAACUGUGUCCUGCUACAGACAUCUCUCAUGGUGUGUGCAGACACCAUCAUGUACCUUAUUCUGUCUGCUUGGGAAACUCUUAUGCUGAGGCUCCAAUACAGGACUGAUGCCAAAAAAUUAGUUCUAGUGCAGACAGCAGUAACUUACAGGAAGCUAUUACAA